GCUAACGUAGCUUACUUAAAGCAUAACACAGAAGAUGUUAAGAAAAACCCUAAAAAGUUCCGUGAGCA
Molecule: transfer RNA, 68 nt
Filed under: Uranoscopus japonicus
Lineage: Eukaryota; Metazoa; Chordata; Actinopteri; Uranoscopiformes; Uranoscopidae
Description: tRNA-Phe
Source: RNAcentral